GCCAGACUCCUACGGGAGGCAGCAGUGGGGGAUAUUGCACAAUGGGGGAAACCCUGAUGCAGCGACGCCGCGUGAGUGAAGAAGUAUUUCGGUAUGUAAAGCUCUAUCAGCAGGGAAGAAAAAAGACGGUACCUGACUAAGAAGCCCCGGCUAACUACGUGCCAGCAGCCGCGGUAAUACGUAGGGGGCAAGCGUUAUCCGGAUUUACUGGGUGUAAAGGGAGCGUAGACGGCAAUACAAGUCGGAAGUGAAAUACCCGGGCUCAACCUGGGAACUGCUUUGGAAACUGUAUGGCUGGAGUGCUGGAGAGGUAAGCGGAAUUCCUAGUGUAGCGGUGAAAUGCGUAGAUAUUAGGAGGAACACCAGUGGCGAAGGCGGCUUACUGGACAGUAACUGACGUUGAGGCUCGAAAGUGUGGGGAGCAAACAGGAUUAGAUACCCCGGUAU
This 447-nucleotide ribosomal RNA is filed under the name uncultured bacterium. RNAcentral describes it as "bacterial SSU rRNA". It matches the Rfam family "Bacterial small subunit ribosomal RNA", at positions 330 to 793 of the family's 1533-position model. The record is from RNAcentral.